CCCGUUCAAGAGCAAUACGUUUAAAGAGCAAUAUCUCUUUAAAGAGCAAUACUACUUAAAGGCUUUGGUGUUUUUCUUUUUUAACCGUCCCUCUCCUCACUCGGUUUUGUUAGACGAGAGCAAAACCCACUUCAGACUUCCUUCUCCAAAUUUCUAUUCAAACGAAACCCUAGAAAGAAACCAAAUCUUCACAAAACCUUCUUCAAAUCGAACGAAGAACGAAGAACGAAGUCCUAUAAUAUUCAGAAAAUCGACCUUUAAUUGUCCAGGUCUCGGAGUGUAGCCCUAGAAUCGAAACCUUCACAAAUUUGAAGUCAAAAUCUUCACAAAUCGAUAAGCUCUUUCUUCACAAACCGACCCUUCUCUUUCUAUAUUCUUCCUUUAUUUGUGCAAAUGAAAUUAAAACAGAGCACAAUACUCUUAGAACGCAAUACUACUUUUCCUCCCUCAAUAUAGAAUAUGAGUAUGAGGUUGCUUUUUGGUUUAAGGUUUUGCUUGAUUCGAGUCAAAUUCCAUUUGGGUGAUUGUAUGUGGUUGAAGAAAUCAAGUUUUGAGUAUUACUGAAAAUAUGGGGGGUGCAGGGGCGGGGGUUUGGAAAGGCAUGGGUUUUGUCUCCUUAGAGUAUUCUAUUGCUGUAACCAAAAUUGAAAGGAGGUAUACUUCAUAAACAACAGUUGAUUGUGAAUUUGUUUGCCCUUUCCCAUAAGCAGCUACAAUGGGUUUUGAUCGGGAUUUUAUAUGAAAAUUUGAAAUAUAAUAUCAUAUCGAC
This 769-nucleotide long non-coding RNA is filed under the name Panax ginseng (ginseng). RNAcentral describes it as "long non-coding RNA (PGIN_LNC006243)". The record is from RNAcentral. Lineage: Eukaryota; Viridiplantae; Streptophyta; Magnoliopsida; Apiales; Araliaceae.